UUGACCUCAAAUCAGGUAAGAAUACCC
RNAcentral lists this ribosomal RNA (27 nucleotides) under Yamadazyma keroseneae. RNAcentral's name for it is "[Candida] keroseneae partial 26S ribosomal RNA". Lineage: Eukaryota; Fungi; Ascomycota; Pichiomycetes; Serinales; Debaryomycetaceae. The record is from RNAcentral.